This 301-nucleotide ribosomal RNA is filed under the name uncultured bacterium. RNAcentral's name for it is "partial 16S ribosomal RNA". It matches the Rfam family "Bacterial small subunit ribosomal RNA", at positions 509 to 807 of the family's 1533-position model. The record is from RNAcentral.
CAGCCGCCGCGGGAAUACAGAGGGUGCGAGCGUUAAUCGGAUUUACUGGGCGUAAAGCGUGCGUAGGCGGCUUCUUAAGUCGGAUGUGAAAUCCCUGAGCUUAACUUAGGAAUUGCAUUCGAUACUGGGAAGCUAGAGUAUGGGAGAGGAUGGUAGAAUUCCAGGUGUAGCGGUGAAAUGCGUAGAGAUCUGGAGGAAUACCGAUGGCGAAGGCAGCCAUCUGGCCUAAUACUGACGCUGAGGUACGAAGGCAUGGGGAGCAAACAGGAUUAGAUACCCCUGUAGUCCCUGUCUCUUAUAC